Molecule: long non-coding RNA, 586 nt
Organism: Salvia miltiorrhiza (redroot sage)
Lineage: Eukaryota; Viridiplantae; Streptophyta; Magnoliopsida; Lamiales; Lamiaceae
Exons: 3
Source: RefSeq, a predicted model, not a curated record
UAGACCCAUACAAUCGAUUUUUUUCAGAUCUACUAAGUGUUUUAGUAGACCCAUACAAAACAGGUUCGAGAUGCCAAGAUAAAGGUCCUCUCCAACCUAAAACGAACUACUGAUGAGGAACGUUCUGAGUGGAAAAAGUUAUCAUCCAAGCUAAAGAUCUGAGAGUUUACACUUCCAUGCUCCAUUGACAUCAAGUUUUCAUCUUCAAAAAAAAUUCAGAAAUAUUAGCUAUUGAUAUUGCAGAUUUAGUCUUUGUGUAAAGUAAAAAUAAGUGUUGUAAUAAUUGCUUAGUAUCUUAUUGUAAUUGAGACAAAUAGUAAAUAGGCAAAAACUAAACAAUAAAAAUAAAAGUACCACAUAAAAAUGGAAAAAUCAUAAAAACAAAAAAAACAUAAAAAAGGAUUUGAACAACUAAGAAUAGAGAGAAAAAUUCUACAUUGUCAAAAUUUCGAAAAUGAACAUAUGUUGCUUGUAUUUAUAGGCAUAUUUUAGGCUCAAAUUUGAAAUUUGAAUUUUGGCUCCAUGCUUGGAGGCCAAGAUUAAUAAAUGCCGCCUAAGAUGCUUGGGGCCCAAGUUGGAAAAUGAA